CCGAGCCCAGUGCGUGGAUGCGGCUGAUAGUGGCGCGCGCAGGUGCAGCUGGGCGGAGUUUGCGACGGAAGUGGCCCCUUACCCUCAGCGUGCCGGGAGCUUUACGUGAGCGAACAGGGAAGAGUCUGUGUUCUGAAUGACUGUGGCAGUACCUGGGCCCGUGGAGCCUUCUGGUGCGGCAGGCGGAGGCACCAAGCCUGGUUGAGCGGAACCUGCGGUUUGUAGUGCUGCUGGCGGAACCUGGGUGAGCAGGAGCGAAGAGUUGACUUAGAAUGCCCUGGUUGCAAAGCAGCAUCCACUGUGGGGAACUUAGUCCCAUCACUUCUCCUCUGUAUCCAGCUCUGCAUGCUGUCCCCAGUGAAAUCAAGGGCACAUCAGUUCAAGUCAGGAGGUCAAUGAUGGGAAUGAACUGCUCCACCAGGGAGGUGGGAAACUUCACACAUCUGAAGUAUAACUUUAACCUAUAGGAUUCAUUGAAGAAAAGACUUGAAGCCAACUCCACCACUUGGGAAGAACAGAUUACUACCGUACAGCAGGUUAACACCAGCUUCAUUAUUCUACACUUUUCCCUGUUGCCUCUUAAUUCAGAACUACUAAGGACUAGAACCAUAAGGAAUUCAUAUCUUCCUGAAAUCUGGUAAUGGGGAAAAUGGCCUGCAACAGCCUUAAUUGGUGCCAAGUAUGAAGAAAUUGAUAGCUCGUGGAAAUAAUUUCAUUCACUUAGUCAAGAUUUGUUUGGGGUUAAAAAAAAUUUUUUUUUUUUUUUUGAGUGUGUGUGUAUGUGUAUGUUAGUGGGGCUCAAGCCCCAGGGCACUUUACCACUGAGCUACAUUCCUAGCCCUUUUUAUUUUUUUAUUUUGAUACAGUCUCACUACGUUGCCCCACAUGGCCUCAAACUUAUGAUCCUCGUGCUUCAGCCUCCCAAUAACUGGGAUCACAGAUGCCCAACAGGAAGAAUUCUGUACUCUUGGAAAAGGACUAAUCAGAGAGGAAUCUACUGUCAACUUUCAUCAGAUAAGUUUUAUCUCCAGAUAACAGAAAAGGAAGAGAAAAAAGUAUUUGAAAGUAUGUGA
RNAcentral lists this long non-coding RNA (1073 nucleotides) under Ictidomys tridecemlineatus (thirteen-lined ground squirrel). Its description in RNAcentral is "lncRNA (ENSSTOG00000031825.1)". The record is from RNAcentral. Lineage: Eukaryota; Metazoa; Chordata; Mammalia; Rodentia; Sciuridae.